RNAcentral lists this ribosomal RNA (352 nucleotides) under uncultured bacterium. Its description in RNAcentral is "bacterial SSU rRNA". It matches the Rfam family "Bacterial small subunit ribosomal RNA", at positions 449 to 793 of the family's 1533-position model. The record is from RNAcentral.
UAUGUUAAUAGCAUACUCAUUUGACGUUAGCUGCAGAAGAAGCACCGGCUAACUCCGUGCCAGCAGCCGCGGUAAUACGGAGGGUGCGAGCGUUAAUCGGAAUUACUGGGCGUAAAGCGCAUGCAGGUGGUUUGUUAAGUCAGAUGUGAAAGACCCGGGGCGUCAACCUCGGAAUUGCAUUUGUAAACUAGGCAAACUAGAGUACUGUAGAGGGGGGUAGGAAUUUCAGGUGUAGCGGUGAAAAUGCGUAGAGAUCUGAAGGAAUACCGGUGGCGAAGGCGGCCCCCUCGGACAGAUACUGACACUCAGAUGCGAAAGCGUGGGGAGCAAACAGGAUUAGAUACCCUGGUAG